RNAcentral lists this small nucleolar RNA (115 nucleotides) under Carlito syrichta (Philippine tarsier). RNAcentral describes it as "Small nucleolar RNA SNORA32 (ENSTSYG00000026175.1)". It matches the Rfam family "Small nucleolar RNA SNORA32", at positions 25 to 121 of the family's 121-position model. Rfam says of the family: ACA32 is a member of the H/ACA class of snoRNA that guide the sites of modification of uridines to pseudouridines. Lineage: Eukaryota; Metazoa; Chordata; Mammalia; Primates; Tarsiidae. The record is from RNAcentral.
UGCUUUAUCUGCUUAAGAAAUCAUGGGAUAAUUUGCUGUGGACAUGACCAUAAAAAAUUUCCCACUAGGUUUUCUAUCUGUUACCGUGUUAGCAAUCAGCCUAUUGGGAACAUUU